GGUAUCCUGUCUGAAUAUGGGGGGACCAUCCUCCAAGGCUAAAUACUCCUGACUGACCGAUAGUGAACCAGUACCGUGAGGGAAAGGCGAAAAGAACCCCGGCGAGGGGAGUGAAAAAGAACCUGAAACCGUGUACGUACAAGCAGUGGGAGCCUCUUUUAUGGGGUGACUGCGUACCUUUUGUAUAAUGGGUCAGCGACUUAUAUUCUGUAGCAAGGUUAACCGAAUAGGGGAGCCGAAGGGAAACCGAGUCUUAACUGGGCGUUAAGUUGCAGGGUAUAGACCCGAAACCCGGUGAUCUAGCCAUGGGCAGGUUGAAGGUUGGGUAACACUAACUGGAGGACCGAACCGACUAAUGUUGAAAAAUUAGCGGAUGACUUGUGGCUGGGGGUGAAAGGCCAAUCAAACCGGGAGAUAGCUGGUUCUCCCCGAAAGCUAUUUAGGUAGCGCCUCGUGAAUUCAUCUCCGGGGGUAGAGCACUGUUUCGGCAAGGGGGUCAUCCCGACUUACCAACCCGAUGCAAACUGCGAAUACCGGAGAAUGUUAUCACGGGAGACACACGGCGGGUGCUAACGUCCGUCGUGAAGAGGGAAACAACCCAGACCGCCAGCUAAGGUCCCAAAGUCAUGGUUAAGUGGGAAACGAUGUGGGAAGGCCCAGACAGCCAGGAUGUUGGCUUAGAAGCAGCCAUCAUUUAAAGAAAGCGUAAUAGCUCACUGGUCGAGUCGGCCUGCGCGGAAGAUGUAACGGGGCUAAACCAUGCACCGAAGCUGCGGCAGCGACGCUUAUGCGUUGUUGGGUAGGGGAGCGUUCUGUAAGCCUGUGAAGGUGUGCUGUGAGGCAUGCUGGAGGUAUCAGAAGUGCGAAUGCUGACAUAAGUAACGAUAAAGCGGGUGAAAAGCCCGCUCGCCGGAAGACCAAGGGUUCCUGUCCAACGUUAAUCGGGGCAGGGUGAGUCGACCCCUAAGGCGAGGCCGAAAGGCGUAGUCGAUGGGAAACAGGUUAAUAUUCCUGUACUUGGUGUUACUGCGAAGGGGGGACGGAGAAGGCUAUGUUGGCCGGGCGACGGUUGUCCCGGUUUAAGCGUGUAGGCUGGUUUUCCAGGCAAAUCCGGAAAAUCAAGGCUGAGGCG
Molecule: ribosomal RNA, 1132 nt
Filed under: Escherichia coli
Lineage: Bacteria; Pseudomonadati; Pseudomonadota; Gammaproteobacteria; Enterobacterales; Enterobacteriaceae
Description: partial 23S ribosomal RNA
Rfam family: Bacterial large subunit ribosomal RNA
Source: RNAcentral